AUGUUUCCUUUGCUCAUUAAACUCGUGGUCUGUAUUCUGGCGUUAUUUACGCUCGACAACAGACUGUUCCAGCUCGCCGGCAGAUUUCCUGCCGUCUUCAAGCUCUCCGGCCAUGGCGCCCCAUGCUUGGGCGUCGACCACGACUCGGCUGGCCUGUCGAGUCUACUUCGCUGGCUGGAGAAACCUCCGAUUCGCCCUCCUCGCCUUGCACCGCCUGGCCUGGACCCCCCAGAACCAGGACCGGAAUUACCACACGACAUGAAAAAAGACACCAUCUUCCAGCACCUCAACAUCGGCACGGAGAGGGCGUGGCGCGUUGUCGCCUGGUGUCAUCUCGUCGCUCUUCUGACUCUGUGGACAGCGACCAUGAUCCUGGCCUUCAGAGGAAGGUCCUCCCCUGACCUCGACCCGGCGCCCUCUUGCCCCUUGGCCCCCUUACCCCCAUCCUCUCUCGCCCCCAGACUGGCGGCCCCCCCAUUCUACAGGUUCUACCCCUGCUGGGACCCCCCUGCCCAGUCCAGCGCCCCCAGGGUCUCUUGCUCUCCUCCCCCUCAGGCCCUGCUCUCCGUCGCCUGCCUCCUCUGCUCUGUGCGUCUCCCUCCCUGCCGCCCCGCUGCCCUGAGCUCUUCUCUCUCUCUCACCCUCUCCCUCCGCUGUGCCCUGAAGCGGCUCCAGGGGACUGUCCGCACCCCCCCCCUGUCCCGCCCUGGCCGCCCCUCUCCCCUGCUGCCCCUCCCCCCUGCGCCCUCGCGGCCUCGUUCUCUCUGCCCCCUGGCGGCUGGGGCUGUCUCACUGAGGCUGCCUCCCCCGUCCUCAGCCUUCCUGCCCCGAUGCGUCCGGCUCGACCCUUUCCCUCCUCCGGCGCCCCUCCCUGACCCCGCGGUGCUCCGGAACGGCCCCCAGCUCUGCCUCUUCUCUCCGGACUGUGGGGCCCCCAUGGAGUUCUGGGAGCUGGAGGGGGAGAGCGCGGAGCCCGGUCCCAGUGGGCGUGUCGAGGAGAGCAGGGCAGCGUGGGAAGGAGGCGCGAGACGGCUGGACCCCCUGAACACGGAGCUGGAAGGGCUGUGGGACGGACUGGGCUUCCUGUGGGACAGGGACAGCAGCGACCCCUGCUGGUGGAGCGUGGAAGAGUGGGAAAUGGGCUGACUCACCAUCUGCCUGACAGACCGAACUCUUUCACGGAUUCAUGGGCCUGGCUUUUGGACUGACACUUAAAUUUGUUUUUAUAUAUAACCUUAACUUUUAAGUUAACAUUUAGGGAACAUUUAAUUCAUACUUGUUUAACCUUAAAAUUUCAAUGAACACCUGGUUAGAUUCAAGUAAAGUAUUUAGUUCUAAAAUGUUAAUUUUGCCUCAAUUAUUAAUUAUCUUUCUUUUCAACGUCAUGUGCUACUGUUUUGUGUUUAAUUUUAAAAACAAUAAAAAC
RNAcentral lists this long non-coding RNA (1426 nucleotides) under Lepisosteus oculatus (spotted gar). RNAcentral describes it as "lncRNA (ENSLOCG00000022430.1)". The record is from RNAcentral. Lineage: Eukaryota; Metazoa; Chordata; Actinopteri; Semionotiformes; Lepisosteidae.